Molecule: small RNA, 243 nt
Filed under: Arabidopsis thaliana (thale cress)
Lineage: Eukaryota; Viridiplantae; Streptophyta; Magnoliopsida; Brassicales; Brassicaceae
Description: ATSL215010
Source: RNAcentral
UUUAACACUUGUUGUGAUCAGUGAGAAGUGUUCCGGUAAUCACUUUUGAGGAAAAUAAUGAGUAGGAAAGUCAUGUUCCUCAUUGUUCCUUAAUUUGUUUUUACCAUUUUACAAGAAAUUUUUGUUCCAUUUUCAGACAUGUGGGUCCUGACAUUUUUCCUCAUCAUUCCUCACACGAAAAGAAUGGUAGAACAGAAUGGUUCCUCCCCAAAAUUGUAGAGGAACUAAGAGGAACAAAAAAAU